AUCGUAGCCCUAGAAUGAAAAGUCUAGUUCAUGAUAAAAUGGAAAUAAACCCUAACAACUGUCUUAAACAUAAUGAUAGAGUUGAGAAAUAGAACCAAUUUAGAUAAUUAAAUCCUUGCGUCUCCUUCUCUUGAUUGAAUCAUGGUACUUUUGUCCCUUUUCUCCCUUGGUUUUCCAUCCUUUCUAUCGCCAAAAUCUUUAUGUCGAAAGUUCCCCUUAUCCCAGGUUUCUUUUCCUUUCAUACUGCUGAAUAUUGGCUCAAUUACGUGGCACAAUAUCGAUCUCGAUCCUAGCACCAUGGCACCAAGUUUCUACCAAAAUUUUCGGACCAAGGCCGUGGCAUUAAGCCACAGUGCUAGAAGUGUCUCUUGCAUAUUUUGAUCUCUUUUUUUAUGCCCAAUUACGCACUCGUAUCAUCAUAUAUCCUGAAUUUGCCUACAACUGCAAAUAGCGCACAAAACACAACAAAAGCUGCAAAAUUGCUCAUAUACUAACAAAUUAUCAAGUCUUAACCAUUCAAUAAGUUGGUAUAAAACCAACUUAUCAAUAAUUGAGUGUCAAUUGCCGACAUCGUCCUCGUUGAUGGUGACGAUCCACUGAGCACAGUAGCAUUAUCAUCAGAAACUAUUCUUUGGCUAAAAUUAUGUGAACAAACUAAUUCAAAUUUGAAGUAAUUUUUUUUCCUUUUUCUUUUUAUUCAAGGCUGCUACUUGAAUCUGGAGAAAGGGAUUAUUUCGAAAAUUAAUUUUACAUCGAAACCAAAGGAACCUUGAUUAUAGAGAUGGUUUAUUUUAACUUGCUGCCCACAGUGUUUGACUUGAAACGUACAUGCAACACUAAAAAACUUUUGAUUACAUUACUUUUCACUUGAGUUGGCUUGAGUUUAGCUGCUUGAUUGCUAAUUGGGAACUUAAACAAUGGUGUGAUUAUAUAAUCAAUGUAAUUGAGCUUUAAUUCUAUCUACACUUCUCGAUUUUAAGUGAAUUACUAGGUCCUAUUAUUUCGAGAUUAGGCCUUUGGAUAACCAACUCCCAUUUGCUAAUCAAUUAUGGCCUGGAUAGGUGACUGUAGAUUUCAAUCAUUAAUGUUUGGAUUUUAUGAUAACUAUGGGGGUUUGAUAUUGAAUUAGGGAUCGUCUGUUGUAUAUGAUCGUGAUUUGUGGAUCUCAUAUGGCUUUGCAUUUAGGAUUUUGAAAAUCUAUAUUGACUUUAGGAUUCUUGAGUUAUACUACAGUUUCGUGUCCUUUGUCAUGUGACUAUAUGCAAUUUUUGGAAUACAAUGAAAUGAGAUUAAUGGAAAAUGAGAUAAAUGUUAAUUUUCACCUUUUAGUUUGACCUAGGUUGAUGCAAGAUGAUUGUGUAGGAUAGGUAGAUUAUUUUUCUAGGGACAUAAUUUUAGCCACAAAUGUCUUCUUGACAUAUAUACCAUACAUUUUUGAAGCCUGUGACUAGACAAUCUAAUCCAAUACCAUUAUGCCGUAUUGGUCUUUGAAAAUUCCAUUUAUUUCAGGGUUAUUUUGCAAGUUUUAUUAUUUUUCUAUUUUUCCUAUUGCUUUUAAGAUUUCUAUCUUUUUAAUUAGAUAUUAGAUUUAAGUGUCAUAUGUUUUAUUUUCGUUAUUCCAUUAUUAGAAUUUUAUUACAUAAUUAUAAUUUGGGUUAGCCUAUUUUGAUAAAUUCGUGUUAUUUAGGGUUAAUAUAAAGGGUCAUAAAACCUAUUUUUGUCAUUCAAACUUUCAUUAAUAAUAUCCAGAUUUACAGAAACUUAUGUUUCUCUAUCUUUUCUAUCUUUAUGUUUCCUUUUCAUCGUUGAUGACUCAAUGUUAAUUGGUUUACGUGUGCUUGCAAUUAUAGAAGGGUUUUGGAGAGACAAUAAAAAGGCUCUUCAUGAACUUCUACAUAAAUGUUAAUUUCUAACUAUCAGUUGAAUUUACUAUAGAUGAAAUGCUGAUUUUUCAUUAAAUUUUUUCAAUUAUGUAAAUUUAGCUAUGGUUUGUUAUAGUACUAUAAACUAUUCUUUAUGGUCUCUCAAACAUACAUGAUGUUCCAGGAAAUGCUCAAGUGAGGGAUUGAAGCUAAUAAUUUAGCCUUAUUAUCCAUAUUCUACGAGCUUUUGGCAAGGGGUAGAGUGUGAGCGACUGACGAGGUUUUGGAAAAGAUUGAAAAGCCAGAUGUUAGUCAGUAUUAUGGAUUGACAAAGGGGCUUUUAAGGUUGACAAUGGCAAGGAAGCAACACAAAUAUUCAUAGACAUAAUAAAUAGAAGAAAGUAAUUGACCCACCUGUGAACUUUGAGACCAUGCUUGCAGCGACAUAAUUAGAAGUAGAGAUGGCUAACGGGUUAGGUGGCAUGGUACAAGCACAUGUUUGUAGAGUAUAUAGCACAACACGGCAUGUAUGCAGGCUGAAUUGGGUUGGGCUGAGAAUUUUAGACACAUGGCCUUAAAAGCACAACACAAUUAAAGAUGAGUUAAAGCACAACACAUGAAAAAGACCCGCAAUAAAUAAGUUUUACUAGUGGGUUAGCAUGUGGCCUAUGAGCCAUCAAUAGCACAUGAUCCGAAGUAUUAAAAUAAAACUUGAAAGUAAACUUAACAUUUUAUGAUUUUAUAAAUAAUUUGAAAUAAAAUCUUUUAAUGUAUUUUAUGAGUGUAAGUUUUUAAAAUUCAUUUAAUUCUUUUUUUUAAAUUCAUUUAAUUCUUAGUUUUAGAUAUAAAACUCGAAAUUAUUUUCUGUAGGGUUGACAAUGAGAUGGGAUGAGUUCAGAAUUCUCUUGUUUUUCUCUUAAGUUUCUCUGCUUCCAAACAUUAUUGAUUUUCAACUCAACGAAAUCAGAACGCGAAACAACAGCAGCGAAAUCAGGACACCACUGCAAUGAACCCACCAGAAGCAGCAACGAAUCCACGCAACUCGAACCAACACCCAUGACUAGCAGCAAAUCAUCACCAACUCCACCUCAACUCAAGUGAGCUUUAUUUUCUUUUUCCCUUUUUGUAGAAAUUCUGAGAUUGUUUAGUCAAAAUGUUGCUAGUUGACAAACAAUUGGUUGUUGAGAUUUGGUGGAUAAUUGAUUAUGGUGUGGAAGAAGCUUCCAUGUACAAAUAAAGAUGCCAUAUGCAUCCGUCACCAAUUAAAAAAACAAAAUAUAGGACAAUUGAAUUACAAUCACUCCUCUUUGAAGACUUUUGGUUUUGGUUAUUAAGUUAUUAUAUGUUGUGUUACAUUACUGUAUUGUGUUACAUGCUUUAAUUUUUAUAAUUAAAUUAAUUUUUUAUUAUUUUUAUAUGACAUUAACAGUAGCUAUCCUAUUAUAUAUUAGAUAAUCCUUUUUUAUUUGCAUUUUUUUACUUUAUUAAAAAUAAUGACUAGAAGCCCAAGCCUGACCUAGGUCCAUUUAGGCUCAGCCCGUCUAAGAUUGGACGGACUUUUAAAGGGCAUGGGCUUGUUAACAACAACAUGUGUUUGGGCUUGGGCUUCAAAAAGCCCGGCCCAAGCCCAUAAUUUGCCAACCCUACUUUUUAGCCUCCACACAAUAAAUCUUAACAUUAAUGUGUAGUAGAAGCAAAUAGGCAAUUAAAAAAUGUUAGUAUAAAAUUGUAUUCAAACAUGCAUGUAGUCAAAAUAAAACUAUGAUUUGAUUAUUCUAUUUUGUAUUUAUUCAAGAUUUUUGUUAUAUUGAAUUAUGAUGAUCUUUAAAAGAAAAAAGUUAAAAUUUAUUUAUUUACAUUUGGGAUUGUUCAUGACAAUGGGAUAGGAAUGGAUAUUUAACGAGAUGGGAGUAGGAUAAAUCUUCGUCGCAAAUUUUUUUUUUGUUUUUAUUAUUCCAAAUCAUAACUACUCUGAAUCUGUACAUGAUUCUAUUUAUAUACAUGAGUGGUGAUUUAACUAAUUCUCAAACUAAUUACAAUUGCUAAUCAGCUGAUUAUAACUAACUAAAACUAAUUUUACAAGCACAAGAAAUACUAUAACAAACUUCACUAAUCUUCACGUGUGCAAGAGACUAUAUAAACACCAGGCUCCAGCUGGCAAGCCAUGUCAUCAACUUGUAACAGUAAGUUGCAGGUGUUGCAAUCCUCUACUUCACUGACCACUCUGCUCACAUGAGCUUCCUUAACAUCCCCUCUCAAGCUCAAGGGUCUGCUAAUCACAUUGAGCUUGGAACGAAAAUAACUAAACUGAGGAAAUGACAGGGGCUUAGUAAGGACAUUUGCAACUUGCUCUUCAGUGAGAAUGUACCUCACUUCCAAUUCUUUGUUAAGAACCUUGUCUCUAAUAUAAUGAACAUCUAGCUCUAUGUGUUUUGAUUUUGAAUGAAAAACUGGAUUUCUAGCUAGAUCUCCAUCACUCUGGUUAUCACACCACAGAACAAAAGUUGGUAAUUUUGUGAUGUUGAGCUAAGAGAAUAACGAUUGCAGCCAAGAGAGUUCAGAACUGGCUACUAACAAGGCUCUGUAUUCACUAUCAGUAUUAGAUUUUGCUACAAUGGCUUGCUUUUUCGAAGACUCAGGAAACCAAAUAUAUCAAGGAUCUGCUGUCUAAAGCCUCAAUGCAAGACUGCAAAGGAACUGACACUCCUUUCAACACAGGCUACAAGUUGGAAAGAUUAACAAAAGGUUCAUUGGGUGCAGAAUUUGAGAAUCCAACCCUUUAUAGAAGUAUUGUUAGAGGGUUGCAAUAUUUAAUCCUAACUAGACAAGAUAUUGCAUAUUCAGUGCAUAAGUUUAGUCAGUACUUCAGUGCUCCUACACUUCAAGUGAUGUUUCCAGGUUGAACACUAGACUAAUGAUUCCUUCACUAAGUGAAGAGAGCAGCCAUCCAAGCAGCACCUGAUCUUGAGAUCUCCAUGUUAUGAAUUCUGGAUUCUCCACAGAUCUGAGUUCAUCAUCAACUCUUUGAGCUAUAUGAGAUGGAGGUGGAGUAACUAAAUCAUCAAUAAACUUUUCGAGCCUAUUUCCACGAAUUGAAGCUAGAACUUGAGAUCGCCAUAUAAGAUAAUUGGAUUGAUCAAGCUUGACUGGUGUGUUAAAGGUAAAUGAACCAGUUGAUGAAUUUGCAGCAGGAUUCUGAGUUAGACGUGAGGAAGAAAAAGUAGACGACAUUAUUGGCUCUGAUACCAAGUUGAAAAUCAAUAAUGUUUGGAAGCAGAGAAGCUUAAGAGAAAAACAAGAGAAUUCUGAAACUCUAUUUUGUUUUUAUUAUUCCAAAUCAUAACUACUCUGAAUCUAUACAUGAUUCUAUUUAUAUACAUGAGUAGUGAUUUAACUAAUUCUCAAACUAAUUACAAUUGCUAAUCAGCUGAUUAUAACUAACUAAAACUAAUUUUACAAGCACAAGAAAUACUAUAACAAACUUCACUAAUCUUCAUGUGUGGAAUAGACUAUAUAACCACCAGGCUCCAGUUGGCAAGCCAUGUCAUCAACUUGUAACAGUAAGUUGCAGGUGUUGCAAUCUUCUGCUUCACUGACCACUCUGCUCACAUGAGCUUCCUUAACACGUUGCCACUGCUUCGCGUCCUGAGUUCGUUGUUGCUACUUCGCUUGUUGUGUCGCUCUGCUGGAUUCGCUCGCUGGUGGUGCUGGCUACUAGAUCGGCGAUGGCUACACUUGUUGGGUGGGUGAAAUAUAAUUAUGUGAUGGCCAUAAUUGUUGGGUGGUGUCGAAAACAUUUGGCUUUUGCUUACUUGCUCAGUUGAUUUGUUUAAUUUAGGGUUUGUUUUUCUUGUGACUUGAUUUUUGAAAUUUAUUUUUUUAAUUUGAUUUUGAUUUUUUUAUUUUUAAAUUAAAGCUCAGGCUUAAGCUCAGACUUUGUGUAAAAGCCCAUGACCAUACCCAUUGGUUGCUAGCUUCAAUUUUUUGAGCCCAUAUCCAGGAUUUCAUGUAGAGGGCAGGGUUUAAAGCCCUUAGGUUUGGGAUGGGCCGGCCUAGACUUUUUUGCCAACCCUAUAAAAAAAUGAGAAUCUUGUGGAUGAACUGCUAGUAAAGGCAUAGUGGGCAGGUCUUAGGUUGCUGCUUGGGAACUUUUGUGGCAGCAUGAAUUUUUUUAUGGUGAGAGCAAGGGACAUCAACAUAAUGGUGCAACCUUAAUUUAAGAAAGUGACCGAGUUCUGAAUGGUUACUAAUGCUACAAAUUAUUAAUUCUAGUUGUGGAUUUUGGUUGACACUUCAUUUUCUAAUUAUAUUACUUUUAUUAUUUAAUUUUGGCCUUUAGGUUUCAACUUUGAACAUUACUUAAGUUAAAAUUAUAAAAUAAUUAAAAAUCUAGAAUAGUUUAAAAUCAUAUUAUUAAUGGGAUAUAUAGGAUGGGAUGACAUUUUAUAGUUGGUCCUCCUCUCAUUCUAUAAAUAAAGGCAGGACUUAUUUUUUUUCAUCGUUCCAUCCUACUUUAAUUUGGAAUGUAAAAAAAGUUUCAAUCCCAUCCCAAACGGAGCGCGAUUAUGAAGGAUCCCAUCUUAACGAAAAAAAUUGACAUCCUUAAUUUUAUGUUUAGAAAGGAUCUCGUCCCAAUAGGAAAAAUUACCAUCCUUGGUUUUAUGUUUAUAAUUUAUUAAAUGAAUAGAUGAUAUCAUGAUUUUAUAAAUGUAUGCAUUAAUAUUAUUAUAGACUGUGAUCUAUGGAUAUAUGUAAGUUCAAGUUAAUAAUUAAGUUAACCCUGAAGAAAAAAUUAUUAUUGUUGUUGUAGUCAUUGUUAUUAAGUAUGAAAAAGGAAACCUAAUAACGUAAGUUCUAACUUAGCCAUUAGUAUUACAUUCUUUUGUUAUUAUUAGUUCAUUAUUAUUGAAUAUGGUCUUGAGUUUUGAACUUUUGAUUUUAUUGAAUUUGACUACACGUAUGUGAACCCAAAAAAAUUAUAUGCGAUUGAAAAUAGCAUGCCAACAACUUGACAUGGUCUCUUAAAAAAAGAAAAAAAUAAAAAAAAAACUUGUUACGCUUUUUUCUUAAGCACGGCCCAUGGUACGGCUCGGCACACACGCGUGGGCUUGGCACGUAUGCCAAGCCCAGAUGUGUUGUGCCAGGCUUAAGCAAAAAAAAAAAAAAAAUAGAGAGAGACAUGGCACGAAGUACAUUGUGGGCUGUGCCUUGCAUGGGCCUUCCUUUGACAGCUGGCACGGCCUAUUGGUCAUCUCUAACCAGAAACUACAAUGUGGUGAGAGUGAUGAAUAGAAGAGCUUAGGUACCUAGAUUUGAGUACAAAAACUUUUUGGAUUUUAUUUCAAUAAAGAUUGUGUAGUUAUGUUCGAGGAAAUGGCAAAGAAAUUAUUGGAGGUUGGAUUGGUUUGAUUUGGCUAAUAUAUUAUUGGUAUGUAGAUAAAAUGGCUACUAGAGGGAGAAUAAAAAGUUAAAGGAUUGAACCAUGAGAUGAGUUUCUUUACCGAUGUAUCACACCAUUCAUACUUAUUUUUGUUCAUGUUGUUAGGCAUCAGUAAGUAGCUUUUAAAUAUGACCACUUUUACCUAUAUUGCAAAGAACUUGCGAGAUAAAUGCAAAUUGGUAGACUUGUAUUGCCAGAUAUCUUUCGGGAUGAACCAUCUCAAUCUAUUGCCUCUGAUGUAAUUUCGCAGUUUGUGACAUAAAACUAUCCACGCUCUUAAAACUACAUGUGAUUAUAAGUUGUCAAAAUAUUUCAUCAAUGUGAUCCAAAUAUUUAUACUAUUGAGACUUUUGUAUCUGUGUCAACCCUUAAUGGGAGAGGGCAAAGCAUAUCCAGAAUAAGGAACCAAAACAAUACAAAUGGUUUGCACAAUUUUUCAAAAAUUCCUUAUCAGAAACUUUGAAUAUACUUCCAAAUGAUUCCUGAGAUUCAGUUGUGACUAUAGGAAAAAUGUUAAUCAGAGUCAUUGUUUGGGGUAAAAAGUGUGACGAUCAGGUACCCAUGGGCAGAAAGAUGCUCUCUUCAACCAAAAGCAACUAAUCAUGGCAGCUCAUUCACAGGAGCCAUCUUCUGGUUGCCUAAAUACUUUACGUGGUUGGGGUUAUGCGACGAGAGACUCUGGUCGAGUUGGAUCAAAGUCUUGGCCAACGACAGUUAUCAGGACAUGGGUUUUCCCCUGAGAGUCCAAGUAUGAGAUCCACUCAAAGGCAGUUGCGUCCCUACUCACCCACGAUGGUGUAAUUGACCCAGUAAUGAUUGUGGAGAGAGGGCCGAAUAUUCUGAAUAGGUAUAAAUGACAUAGAGUCGAAGGUUAAAGGGUUAGACAAAAUUUUCUUUGACUUCACACAUUAUCUAUCAUUGAUCUAUUUCUGGAUUCUUUUUUUUUCUAAUCUUCUUGAAAAUUAUGUUUUCUAAUUUUGAACUAAUAUAACUAAGCCACAAGUUAGUGGUACAAGUUUUUCUAGAAGGAACCUGAUUACUAACUUGAGUGUCAGAGGGUUAUCGUUGGAAAAACAUCUGGCGCCCUCUAAUGGAGUGUUGUCUACUCAAAGUCAAGGUUGUUUGUUAGUGUACAUAUAGUUGAAGUGCAGAGAUAUUCCCUGGAAAUUACAAAUCCAAGUGUUGAUGUGAUCACCUGGUCGCUAACUAGCUCGACUAGAUUCCAGCAUCAACAUUUUUGGUGCCGUCUGUAGGAAGCAAACGAAAAGCCCCCACCAAUGGAUUAAAUUGACAAAAAGGUACGAAAAAUGAGACUAUGAGGAAACAGAGCGCAUGAAAUUGAUUACGGAGCAAAUGAAGUGAAGGAGAGAGGGCAAUACACGAACGAAUAGAGCGAAUACAGAAACAAAUUGAAACUCACAAGUGUGUUGCAUAAGUUAAGCGAAUGACAAGUUAGGCUUGAAGGGAGAGCUCCAGCAGAGAAUCAAGGUACCUUCGAACCCAGUACUAGGGUAGCUCAGGAUGAACAUAAUCAGGAGGAUGGCAUUCAACUUCGUGGUGAGUAGAGUCUUAGAACGAAGAGUCAGUUCUGUAGUAAUCAUAAUUAGACAAAUAAUAAAAGAGAAUUCUAAAAGGAGGGUACUUAGACAACACUUAUGCGACAUCGAACAGGAACGCGAUCAGUCACUGCACGAAACCCUGGUCGCGCUAUGGAGCUUAAGGGAAAGGUAUGGAGGCUGGCUUAGGUUAUAGAUGAGAUGCAAGGUGAGGGUAAGGCACCGAGUUGGAGAAUUAUACUGGAUAGUGAGUCUUGUCUUUCACCCGAGAUCAUGAGCAUUGUGAUCCCAUAAGACUUUUGAUUCCUAGAUCUCAAAUACACCCAAAAAAUGACUUUUUGGUGCACAUCGAACGUUUUAAUAAUAUGAUAGGGUGUAGGGUUUGAUGCAAGCCUAGAGGUGUAGAAUAUUUCCACUAACCUUGGAAGGACAAGCGUGAGAAUGGUACCAAAAAAUGCCCAGAGGAAGUAUAAGAAGUUUCGAGUAAAUGUGCCAGGAAUUUGGAGAGCAGUUUUGAGGUUGACACAAUGGAGCUGAUUAGGAUCAAGCGGGGUGAAAAUGAGCCCGUCAUAGAAUUCUUGAAGAGAUAAGACCACGCAGUCCUCGACCUUGGAGCCUUUAACUAUCCUCAAACAUUGAAGAAGCUGAAAGAGAGGGCGAAUAUGGUGACUGUGGUACAACUUGAGAAGACCAAUCGUAAAAUCAUACUCUAUCGCGUACGAUAGGCGAAGAGAGAUAUCAAAAUUAAGGAUGAAAAGACGAUGAUGAUCAGAAGUGAGCAACUUAAAGAUUUAAGAUGGAAGGAGAAAAAGAUCUAGAAAAGAGGCGGGCCCGUUAAGCGAAGUGACAGACCAUCUCCAAAUAGAAAAGCAAAUGGUCGAGCACUCAUUAGCAAACCCAUUAAAUGCCACCUUAAUUCCAAUGCAGGAGAGUCCCCUCUGCUCAUUCACCGAACAGAGACCACUGAAGAGAUCACAACUAGCCAUAUAACCAUCCUCAUUGCGAUGCCCUAACAAAUCACCAUAUACAAAACACCAAAGUAAACAUAUCAAACCCUCAGCGUCUGUCACCACUCGUAAUAAUUUUGCUAAGGACAAAACUACGCAGAUAAUCGACCAGAGCUUGGCUUACAAGCGAUAUACCCCUUGAAAGUGCCUCUGAAUGAGCUAUACCACAUAAUAAAUAAUAGAGGUCUACUAUAUCCCUCAACCUUAUUAGCAAAAGUGGCCAACAAAUGGGAGAAAAGUAGAUUUUAUGAGUUCCACAACAUUCAUGGUCACACCAUAGCUUAGUGUCGUGACCUUAGAAAUCAAGUUGAAGACUUGGUAAGGAAUCGCUACCUAGACGACCUCAUUGAUGGUGCCCAUUAAUAACUCUAUGAAAUGAGAGUUAUCAUGACACUUUUGGACUCAAACCAAUAUUGCUUAGAGAGUAAAUGAUGUGUUUAUAUUGCAUUUUAGUUACAUUCAACAUAAACAUGUAUUCAAGUUCAAUUUUAAUAAAUUAAUUUAUUUUAGAUCAUUUUGUGUUCAGAUUAUGUGCAUGAUUGUAGGGGACUAAAAAAGCUCAAGUUUUAUGGAUAGAAUGAUGCUACAACAGACUUGCAGAGAUGACAAAAGAACUUAGCUGCAGAGGAAUUAAAACAAGUCUGAAACAGUGAAGAUGCUGCAGCAAUCUUGUAGCAACGACAUAUUAGAUUUCAAGCGCGAUAAAUGAAAGAUUGUGAUCCAAGGUUUCCAAAAAUGGAAGAUACGCACCACACACUUUUGGUUGCCCUAAUUUCAAGUUAUAAAAGGAGCAUGCAUGAAAAGAAAAAGGGAGAGCCGUCACUCAAGAAAAAAAACAGAGAAAAACAAAAAGAAAAUAGAGAAUAAGAGAGACUUGAGGGCGGCAACAGAGGAUUCAAGGAGAAAAUGGAAAAGAAAUCACCAAGACUAAGUGAAACUUAACUCUUCUUCUUAUUUUCUUGUUUUUAUUUAUUUAUGGAAAUGUACUUAAUGGUUAAAACAAUUUUUUUUAUUAUUGUAUUGCAAAUCAUGAACUAAAUUUUGUUAUGAUCGAGUGAUAAACAAGUUUAAUGAUUAUUUGACUGAUAUAUGUCUAUUGCAUGCUAUAACAUUUUUCUUAAUUUUACUAAUUGCAAUUUCCUAUUUCUGCUGACCACCCAUUUAGUGGAUACUAGCUUAGAAAUAGCAUAAAAAAAGUCUGAUUUAGCAGAACAAAUUAAGACAAUACUUGAUUUGAGAUUGGGUUUCCUAAGUUGAGUUAAUCUCAAUUUGAAUAGGGUCAUGUUUGAUCUAAAAUUAGUGAACUAGACAAAAGAAUUUACCUUGUAGGACAAUUGGAACCUAGAAUGCCUUGACAUCUCUAUUAGCCCAAGUAACUUCAUUAACAGAUAUGGUGAAAAUUAUGACCACUGCUCCAACAAUUAGCAACCAAAUUGCUGACUUAUUUUGUGUUUAUUGUGGAGAAAUGCAUAUAUUUGACAAUUGUCCUAGAAAUCUAGCUUUGAUCAACUAUGUGGGCAAGUUUAACAAGUAAAAUAAGAAUAAUUCUUAUUCAAACACUUAUAACCCUGGAUGAAGACAACACCCAAACUUCUUAUAGAGCAAUCAAAAACAACAUGCUGCAGUAUCUAGUGGACAAAACAAGCCUGCCCAAUCAGCUGGAUUUCACCAGCAAAAUCAAGGACAAAGAAACACCAGCAAUGAUUAACUUAGUUCUCUCGAAGCUUUGAUUAAAGAUUAUAUUGUGAAGAAUGAAACAAUGGUCCAAAGUCAAGCUGUAUCCUUAAGAAAUCUAGAAAAUCAUAUUGGACAACUUGCUAUAGCAUUAAGCAACAGACCUCAUGGUAGUUUACCCAGUAACACAGAGGAUCCCAGAAGAAAAGGAAAAGAGCAUUGCAAAGUGAUUAACUUAAGAUCUGGAAAGGUUCAGGAAGUGCUUGAGCUUAACUGGGAUAUGCAAUCUCUAAUUUGCAUAAGGGUGGUGAAAGAAUCAGAUUUGGUGUUUGAUUCAAGGUGGAUAAAUGUAGAGUUAAUGAAUAUAAAUACAAACCAGAGCAAACGUCAGCGUAUUAAGUAAUUGGUUAAUUCAGUUAUGAAGUCACAUAAGGGGUAACGUGACUGGGAUAUGCAAUCUUUACUUUGCAUAAGGGUGGUGAAAGAAUCAGAUUUAGUGUUUGAUUCAAGGUGGAGAAAUGUAAAGUUAAUGAAUAUAAAUACAAACCAGAGCAAACGUCAACGUAUUAAGUAAUUGAUUAAUUCAGUUAUAAAGUCACAUAAGGGGUAACGGGAAACGGCAUUAAGGCUUGCGUUUUGGUCAUAACUGAUUCAAGAGUUGCUCAUGCCAAGUCAUGUGGUUAAGUAAGUGCCUCCAAGUUCGUUUUAACAGUCUUGGACACGUGGAAGAAAGUUGUGCUAUCUGGGUUCAUUGUUUAUUACUCUGCUGCAAUAUAUUACUGGUUCUCCAUCUCAUUCUAUAACUGAUUCAAGAGUAUUUGAGAAAGACUUUAGAAAGAAGGAAAGUUAUUUCUUGAGCUCUGAAAUCUCAACUCUGUGUACUUAUAAUUUCCUCAUUAAAUCAAUCAAUAAACAAGUUCUGAUGGUUUCACUCGUGGAUGUAAUUCUUGUAAAAGACUGAACCACGUUAUCUCUUAUGUUCUCUAUGAUUUUGCUUCUGAUUCAUCUUUUCUAUUGUUCUGAUUUCUAUUCUUGAAUGGUUGAGUCUAUUUAGAGAAUAUUGAUUUGAUUUGGUUUAAUUUUGUGCUUGUGUGCAACUUGUAUUGAUCUUAAUCAAAGAUCUUGGGCAGAGUUUUAAUUAUCAAUCAAAGCUCUACAUAAAAGACAUCAAAUUUGAUAGAGAAGAGGCCUUGAAGAGCAUAGUCAGGUGACCUAGAACCACAGAAAUUCAUUGUUUCAUUACAAACGUAAUCAUCUUGAAAUGAUUUAUGGACAUGGCCAAGCAAGUGAUUUUGCAUGAGGAUUUAAAAAUCUCUGCAAUUUAAAUAUACUCACUAAGUUCCAAUUAUCCUUUUCACAUUUGAUUGCAAUUCAUCUCUAGCAAGCAUUCUUGCCAUGCCAAAAUGUGAUAUUUUAGGGUUUAUUUCUCUAUAUAAGAGAAUAUUACAUGCCUUGAGAUUUUUGUGAAUAACUCUUAAUUUAGAUAGUGGUGAAAAUAUAGAAGUCCUUGAGCAAUUCCUUUAAGGGAAAUUAUCAGCCAUAUAUCCUUAAAUGACACCAGUAUCAAACGUGCUACAACACUUUUCGCUUAUAUCACUCGUACACCCUAAGUUGACAAAAGAGUUCUGGUGUCCACCUUUCCGUUUACUACCGUUAAGAACUUAACAGAAUUUGAGCAAAAUGACUAUUUUACCCUUUAAACUCAAAAUGAGGUAAAAAAAUAAAUUUAUCUUGAAAAUUAAUGUAAAUUUUCAAUACACAAUUUUUUUUUUUAUUAACAAUACAUUUUUUAUUAAAAAAAUAUGAAUUAUUAAUAGUACAUAUUAUUAACAAUUAUCCAUAAAAAAUAUUCAUCUUAUACCAUAAAAAUUAUUAACAACAUAUUAUUUACAAUUAUACAUAUUAUACCAUAAAAAAUUCAAAUUGCGCUUGGAGGAGUAGAUCUUCAAUAAUUUAGGUUAAAUUUUGGAGGAGUAAAUUCGGUUGUAAAGUAGUUUUUUUUUUUUAGCAAUUAUUAACAAUUAUCCGAUAAAUGCGAUGACAUGUCAUUUUUAUCAAAAUAUAUCAUAUGACAUGUCGUUUUUUACUAGGUAAAUGGGAUGACAUGUCGUUUUUUUAAAAAGACUAUAUUACCCUUAUGAUGUCCGCGCUCGCAAACGGCAGUUAACGGAUUGGUGGACGGCAGAAGUGUUUUGUCAACUUAGGGUAUACGAGUGAUACACUUGAAAAGUGCUGUAGCACGUUUGAUACUGGUGUCAUUUAAGGGUAUAUAACUGAUAAUUUCCCUUCCUUUAAUGAUUCUAACUUGUGUUUCCCAACAUAAAAGUCCUUUUUUGCUAGGAAUUGUUACAAUAUCAAACCCUUACAUGAGAAACAUUGUAAAGUACCAGAGAAUGCAUAUUUAUACAGGGUAAAAUUAUCAUUUUAUGCUCUAAGUCUCACUAACAUUUUUAUUUUUACGUGUUUGAAUCCUUUAAGCUUUUAUUAUGUGUGUUUUAUUAUAAUUUAAAUAUUUUAUUUAUUUUAGAGAUAUUUUAGUCAUUUCACGACCAAAGAGAAUAAAUAGAUAAUGAAAAAAUUACGAUACAAACCUUAUCACACUGUUACACACCUAUUAUGAAAACACACUUAAAACCUGUACACAAAAUCAUUUACAAUAUUUACAAAGAAAAUUAACUCCAAACAUCUAUAAUUGUAAAUGAUACAAGUUAGUUAUAGCUGAGUUUUCUAUAAUUCUCAUAGAUAGAAAAGCCAGCUGUCUGGGAGAAGGUAAAUUAAAAGAGUUGAUAACCAAACGGUUAAUAAAGUGCCUAAUUCAUGCUAUUAGUUAGGCCACUUGGAAGAUUAGCUAUAGCUUAAUCUUCACAAUUACAAAUGGUAUAAAUAGUGUAGUACAAAUUCAUUUCUUUUUAAUAAGAAAAGAAAAGUCCAGCUCAAUGUCUCUCAGAUUUUGUACUUGUUCUAACAAAGAAACACUCUAGUUCUAAGGAAAAUAUCAAAACAUUUGAUUCCUUUCUAACUGAGAACAUAGAGUAAGGCUCAUAUGGCUAUCGAGCAUCUACCACUGAAAGUGUUAAGCAGUUUCCUAAAGAGGCUUCAGCAUUAAUAUUUGCUAGCAGAACUGACCUUUCCACAAUUUGCACAUAUGAGAAAGCAGGCUGAUGUGGGGAAGGCAAAUUAACAAUCUCGUCUUUUAGCAUUGCGACAACUUCCAACAUGGUUGGUCUAUCUGUUGCAUUCUCUUGAACACAUAAAAGGGCCACCUUAAUGUAUCUCGUCACCAUCGAAUACAGUGCUUCAUUUUGCAUUGUCGGAUCCAGCAACUUCCAGGCUUUGUCAUCCUUCCACAAAUUCCAAGCCUGAAGUAGAAAAAAAAAAUUCAAAAUGCUAAAUGAAUAAGUCAGCCAUCAUUUUAGUUCUGCGUAUAGGAAAUUCUUAACAUUUCCAAUUCAAUAAUCAAACUUUAUUCCUUCACAGUUAUUGCUAGAUUCAUUGUAAUAUGCUGAAAUAAAUGAGAAAUAUUCUCACUUACAUGGCCAAGAAGGGUAAGGGAAUCAGUAUUAUAAAAGCGUGUAUUCUUCUUGCUACUCAGUAUUUCCAACAGUAACACUCCAAAGCUAAACACAUCAGAUUUGAUAGAGAAUAGGCCGUGCAAAGCGUACUCAGGCGACAUAUAACCACUGAAAUUCAUUGUUUCAUCAAAUAUUCAACAAUGAAAGCAAAUGAUAUUUGCAUGAGGAUUUAAAUAGUCUUAGGAAUCAAAUUUACUUACUAAGUUCCAACUAUCCGAUUCGUAUUUGAUUGCAUCUCAUCACCACCAAACGUUCUUGCGAUGCCAAAAUCAGAUAUUUUUGGAUUCAUGUCACUAUCUAAGAGAACAUUACUUGCCUUGAGAUCUCUGUGAAUAACUCUUAAUCUUGAAUACUGGUGAAGAUAUAGAAGUCCUUGAGCAACUCCUUCAAUAAUUCGAACACGUGUUGUCCAAUCUAAUAGAUCUUUCCUAGCAGGAUCUGUUACAAUAUCAAACCUUGAGGAAUAUUUAUAAUAUGAAAUGGUACAGGUUAAAACAAUGGGUACAGAUAAAAGUCAGCGAGAAAUUGUAAAUAUUUAUUUCUUGAAUGAUGGAAAAAAAAUACCAAAAAUGAAAAAAUCCAAGCUUUUGUUAGCCAUGUACUCAUAUAUCGAAAUCUUUUCGCCCUGUUCAAUACAGCAGCCGAAGAGUCUGACAAGGUUCCUGUGUUGAAGUUUUGCUAUCAGCAUCAUCUCAUUUUUAAACUCUUCUAGUCCUUGUCCUGACUUACUAGAGAGCCUUUUAACUGCAACUUCCUCUCCAUUAAGUAGUUUACCCUGUUUCCAAUUGCAUAUUUCAACAUAACGCUCUAUACUCUGUUUAUUGUAGCAAAGUUCACAAGAAUGCUACCUUAUAAACAGGCCCAAAGCCACCUUCGCCUAGCUUAUUUUCUUCCGAGAAAUUAUCUGUAGCUGCUGAUAUGCUAGACAAGCUGAAAAAGAGAAACCAAGAUUCCUUACUCUUUCCCGUUCCAGCGCUAUCUCCCUCACAGAAUUCCUUUGCUCUGCUCAUAUUGCCCAUAUUUAUUUCAAAUAAUAACAUAUCUUGGCUUGCUUCGGUUCUUCUUUCUGUAUGCCGGUUAUAAAAAAUAUGAGCAUACGUUUUGUCAUGUGCACUCAUAGACUCAUGGGGACGCAAAACAUAAGACAGUGAUUUAAAAGGAUGUCACCUUUCUCUUUGAGCUUUUUCUUCCUUCGAUAAAAUAUGAGAAAAGCGGGAAGAAUUGCCACUGGAAGAGCAGCUAGUACCACUAUCCAUAGUGGCCUCUUCUUUCCUACACCCAAAAAUAUAUUUGCUAUCAAUUCCCAGUUUCAUUUUGCCGGAAAAACUGGGAAAUAGCCAAAUAACCCCUGCUUUGUUUUAGUUUCUCUCUGUAUUAUUGUGGCUCAUGUGGUUUAUAACAUUCAAUUCCUGAAACAAGUAGGCAAGUGUAAUUCGAUUUAAUCGGAAGGCACAGCUUUUAGAAGGAAGCCUUGCAAUAGCAAAGAAGCUGAAAGCUUUGCAAUAUCAACUUCAAAAAUGCAAUAAUGUACCUGGUUCUGAAGCUGGUACUCGUAAGUAGAUAGACUGUCCGGUAAGGUUUGCAAGUGUCUUUCUCAUAUCAAUCAGGUCCCCAAACCACAUUAAACAGCCACUGCCUCCUCUGGUUAGGUUGAAGUAGGCAUAAGCUCUACAGGUGCAGUUAUUCAAGCACUCAGCCCCACAUUCCUCAAGAUUCAUACCCUCAUUUAGCGAAACAUCUAGCAAGUCAGGCACUUUCAUGUCAUCAAACCUUUUAAACUGGUUUGCGGUUUUGCAAUCUGACAAAUGGCUUCUCACGCAUGUUGUAGCCCAUGUUUGGUUGUGUUGUGAAUUGGGUUUGAAUCCCUUCAAGCACUCACACUUAGGUGGAUUAUCAACAUUGCAAAUACUGUUAGCACCACAAUGCCCAUAAUUUUGACAAACAUCACCGGGGGCUGAGAACAUGACUUGCCAUCCAGAACUCCCCUCGUUCCAUAAUAGCCGCUGGAUCUUGCCUAAUGGGUUGAUUUUUAACAUCAUUAUGCUUAAAUUGUUGUAGGAUUCAUACCUGUAAUAAAUUUCAUCUUCCGUAUCUACCAAAAUUAUUUUGUAAAGAUAGUCUAUAAAUGUAGGACCAUCUUCAAAGAUAAAUCCAUUCCACGGUCCAAUACGGGCUAACUUCAGCGAUCCCUUGUAAAGAAAAAUUUGAGGUAACACAUGUAUGUCAAGUCUGUAAGUGAAUUUUCCUGGGGAUGGAUCAUCAGCGGUUCUCCACGACGUUAAAUAUCGUUCCCGACCAGUCUUUAAAUCCCAACCCACCUUCAUGCCCGGUAACAGAGUGUCUGAUGGGAAGUCAAAGCUCUGCCACAGAUAGCUACCUUCAGAAGUAUUAUUGCUAAAAUUUUCCCUUAGAACAAGGUUUCCGGUAUCUAACAGCUGUGCCACUGGACUUUUUGCUUCUUUAGACAUGUUCGAAGACCAGAUAGUGCCAUUUGCUUGGUUGAGAAGCACAAGGUUCCCAUUGUUGUUAAUAGCUAAAAUUCCAUGUGGAUCAAGAAUUGGGCAAUUUCUAUUAGCGACCCAAACAACUGUGUCAGGGCUCUUCUUAUACCAUACUCCCAAGUACCUGUUCUUUGAAUUACCAGGAGAGAAGAAGCCUAGUUCAAACCUUUGAGAUGGUGAAACCAACUUCUCACCAUCACGGAUGAAUGUUGCUGGAGUUAUUGAGUCUGCUGCUAACGAAAACUGCAAGGCCAACAAAGAGGUCAAAUAACUGAUGAUGUAGAAGCUAGAAAGGUUCUCCAUUCUCAAAACUGGAUGAAAAAUAUCAAAGUGUUUUGAGAUUGAUUGAAAUAGAAUUAAUAUUCAUCUUCUAAAAUAUCAGUCCUAACGGGGUGUUGAACAAGUCUAUUGAAUUGACCUCCUGGUGUUGAAUUUUGAAGUCUUGCAGACUCUUCAAAACUUUAGUAAAAUAGUUAAAAAUUAUUCACUUGUUGAAAAAGGAGUUAUUUUAAUUACUUCAGGACUUCCUGCGUGGUAUCCUUCCAUUUCUCAAGGCUAAUGGUUUGUGGUUCCAAAAUCAUAACUCGACUUGACUUUAUCGCUAGAUAUUUCAAACUUACGUAAGAAAUGAGAAAUUUCUUUGAUGAGAAAUUAUUCUCUUAAACUAAAUUUUGAUAGCGAUUUAUAGCAAUAUCCAAUGGUCGAAAAUCCUAACUUAUAAUCAUCAGUGUUACAGAUAAACUUCACUGCUGAUCAUACAACAGUAAAAUAAUAAAUAUUUACAAUGUUAAAUUAUUUUGAAUAUUAAAAAAAUAAAACUUAACUUAUAAUAAUCAGUGUAAGCAACGUCAGUUACUCAGUUGUUAACAACACUACUAAUAAAAUGGUUAGUUCAAGCUAUCAGAUUCACCACUUGCAAGAUUAGAUUUAGCUGAAGCAUCACGUCCAAAGAUUGUAUAAAGAGUGAUGUAGUACACAUUCAUUUGUUGUCUACAAGAAAAGAAAUUCAGCUCCGUUUCUCAGCUUUAAAAAAAAAAAAAAAAACACUGUGAUUCUAAGCAAUGUAUCAAACAUUUGAUUUUUUUUCCUAACUAAAGCACAUAAAGCAGGGUUCAAAUAGCUAUCGAGCUUGAUCUCUGGAUGGAUUAAGCAAUUCAUUGAAGAAGCUUCAGCCUGCAUAUUUGUGGGUAGAACUGAAUAUUUCAUAACUCUCACAUAUAAAAAAAGCAGGCUGUUUGGGAGAAAGUAAGUUGGCAACCUCAUUUGAAUGCAUUGAGACAAGUUCUGACAUGGCUGGUCUAUCUGUUGCAUUCUCUCCAACAGAGAGAAGGACCAUGUUCAUGUAUCUCUUCAGUAUUGGAUAAGAUGCUUCAUUUUCCAAUAUAGGACCCUUCAGUUCCCAGGCUCUACCAUCACUCCACAGAUUCCAUACCUGAAGCAAAACAGAUCAUUCAAAUGCUGAAUGAAUAAGCCAGCUCUCGCACUGAUUCUACUGAUGUAGGAAGCUCUUUACUUUUCCACUUCAAUAAUCAAGCUUUUUGUUCUAUUAGGAUUUUUACUAGAUUAAAGAACAAAAAAGAAAGAAGAGAAAAAAGUGAGAAAUCUUGACACUUGCAUGGCCAAGGGUAAGUGCAUCGGUAUCAUAGAAGUGGGUAUUCUUCUUUUUACUCGGUGUUUCCAAUAGCAAUACUCCAAAGCUAAAAACAUCAUCUCAUUUUUUGACUCAUCUUGUCUUUGUCCCAACUUACUUAAAAGUAGAGAUGGCCAAUGGGCCGGAUGACACGUGGUACGACAGGUGUUCGUACAGCACAGUACGACAUGAGCACGUUUCAGCAGAGUACGCGGCACGGCACGCAUGUGGGUCGGGCCAGGCUUAGAAUUUUAGGUAUGCGGGCCUUAAAAACACAACAUAAUUAAAAAUGGGCUAAGCACGACGCGAUAAAAAAGCCUGCAAUAAGCACGUUUUAUUUUUUAAUAAAAGUAAACUUAAAAUUUUAUGAUUUUACAAAUAACUUGAAAUUAAAUUUUUUAAAUUCAUUUAAUUCUUAGUUUAAAAAAAUACUAUAAUUGAUUUAUAUUUAUAAUUUAUUAAAUAAAUAAUUGAUAUCAUGAUUUUAAUGAAUAAAAUUAUAAAUAUCGUGAUUUUAUAAAUAUGUAUUAAUAUUAUUGUGAACUAUGAUUUAUAACUCUAUGUAAGUUUAAGUUAACAAUUAAGUUAACCCUUAAGAAAUUUUUAUUAUUAUUAUUGUUGUUAAGUAUUAAAAAAAUUCUAAUACUAUAAGUUCAAAUUUAGUAAUUAAUAUUACAUUAAUAACUAUAAUCUUAUCAUAAUCUUAUCAUACAGGUUCUUGACAAACUCAUUACAUUCUCUAAUUAUACUGCAUAUAUAUUUAAAAAAAUUUCUUAUUAUUAAUUAAUAAAUUAAUAACUAUCAAUUUAUCAAUAUAUUAAUAUUUUUUAAAUUAAUAGACUUUUGGAACUUUACUGUAGAUCUCCAAAAUUUUACUGUAGAUGUCCAAAACACGUAUUUUUUGUGUUAUAAAUUUAAACAAUCAAGGAGAAUUUAAUUAGUUAAUUAAUCAAGUUUCUUCUUUAUUUAAAAUUUUAAAACUAGUAUUAAUUUUUAUAAGGAAAAUUAUCCACCGUCCACCCGUUUUUUUAACUUUUUCAAAAAUCCACAAUUUUUUUUUUUUGGAAUCCACCUGAAAUUACAUUUUUUUUACUUUUCCACUUUUAUUUGGAGACCGUUAAGAAAACUAACGGAAUAUUAUAUAAAUGACUUUUUUACCCUCAAAUGUAAAAGAUAAAUUAUCCAUCGACCACUUAUUUUUUUGUUUUUUUUUAAAUACACAAUUCUUAAUUUUUUUUCUAAACUCCACUUAAAAUUAUAUUUUUGUCACCUUUGCACCACUGUGUCAUUGUAAAAUAAUAAUUUUACCCUUAUGAUGUUAGUAAAAUUCUAACAGUGUUAUAACGAGGGUGAACCAAUGAAAAAAAUAUUAACUUCAGAUGGAGCGCUGCAAAAAAAAUUAUGCAUUUUUGAAAAAUAAUAAAAAAAUAAGUGAAAAAAAAUUAUAUAUUUAAAAAAACAGUAAAAAAAUAGUGAACAGUAAAUAAUUUUCUUUUUUAUAAUUAUUUUUCUAUUUUUCUAAAGGGAUGGGUGGAAAAUAUCACCACCCAAACAAUAAAACUGGGAGGGCUGGGAUAAAUGAUGAGUACGGAGGGCCAUAAUAGAUAAACUAACAUACUUUUUAGUAAAGCUAUGAUAUAAGAAUUUAGAAAUAAGAGGGUAAAUUUUUUUUUUCCUCUUUCUUUAAGAAAAGGUGCAUAGAAAUUAAUAUGCCCGCUGCCACACUACUAUCCGCAGGGGUAACGGUCGGUAUUGAACACUACAUAAAACUGUCUCUUCCACCAGAACCUCUUAUUAAGAUAAAAGAUUUUGGUCGUUCAAGUUAUGUUUAUUAAGCAGGUGAAACAAUAUUUACUGAAUCCUCGCAAGGCCCACCCCCAGCUGUUCUAUAAAUUACUAUUUUUCAAUGUUAGUCUUUACAUAUUAUCAUUUGUAAUGGAGCUCCCUAAACAGGAGAUUAAUUAAUUUUCAUUGCCAUGAUAGUGUGGUAUAAUUGGACAAGCUCAGGUGAUAAAUGUAGAAACCAGAGUAAAACAAAGUACACUAUAAGAAAUUAACAAAGAUAACACUCUUUUCUUAAUAAAGCGACUUCGAUUCCACACUGCAGCCUAUUAAGUCUACAUAAUUACACACUACUCAUCACCUACAGGCAAAUUAAAGACACACGACGACGUGAUUUAUUAUACUCUAAAGCUAGUCACUCUUUAACAGUGAACUUAAUUUUAUUACUAACUUGCAUGCAUAUAUCAUGCACUCCCACCCACCCCCCCGCCCCACCCCGGGGGCACCACCAGAGCACACACGCUAGCCAUUAUUAUUAGAAACACGUAUCUAGAAGUAAGGUGAACUGAAGUCACAGCCCUGCCUUGGAGAAAUGUUGCACUUGCGAGGAAUUUGACUGGCCGACUCAUAAGCUUGUCGCAACAUCCCGCCCUGUAUCUGUCCUUGCUGCAGCUGGCUUCUCAACGCUUGCUCUAGCCCCGGGCAGCGGCAUCUGUUGUCCAGCUGCUGCAGUUGUUGGCAGCAUUGUCGAAGAUACUGCUGUUGUUGAUUGUCGCCAAGGCUGCUGCCCCACAGGCCGUCCUCCCCUUCCUGCUGCCGGUCGCGGACCUGCUGCCUCAAGUGCAUCUGGCACUGGCGGAGUUGCUGCUGCUGCUGUAUCUGCUGCUCGCAGCUCUGCUGGGAGGGGUUUUCUUCGUCGAUGAAAAUGGUGGUGCGGUAGAUCGAGGAGUUGGCAACGAGGAGGAAGAGAGCGAAAGUAGAUAGAAGGAGAAUGAGCUUAUUUGCCAUUGCCGCUUGUUAGGGCUUUCUAGGUCGAUGGUGAGAGUUCGGGGUGGUGGUGAAGGGAUCUUUAUAGCAAAAUGAAGGUGUAUGCAUGGCGGAUACGUGUUAGAUGGAGUGGUAAUCAGGGCAGGUGUUUGAUGGUUGCAACUCAUUGUCACACGUAGAUGUUUCAUGCAAUUUGCUGGCAAUUGAGGUUUUUGUUUGUGCAUGCAUGCAAAAUUAAACUGCCUGCCUUGGGAUUUUAAAAUUUUGGUAACUGCAGGAAAUUGCUUGGGAACUCUUAUACAGCUUUGUUCUUUAUGCAACAGAAUCAAAAUCUUCAAAUAGAUCCAAUACUGUAUAUUGUCAAGAGUGAAACAUGAGAGUAAUAACAAUUUAUUCAUAAGUAUAAAUUUCCAAUGUAUUUAAUUUGUUUCUAUUUAACUCUUUUAGAUUUCUUUUCCGAGCAAAAAAGAAUCUAGAUUUGAUUUAUUUAUGUAACAUACUUUUACCUAAUUUCUAUACACAAAUUUAUUAUUUUCCUUGAUGAUAUGGAUUAGGAGAAAAAUUUAUUAAAUGAAAAACAAAAUGAUGUCUAGUCAGAAGACGUAAUGAGACUUUAUCAUUCAAGACAUAUAUUCUUUUUUAAGUUAAAAUCUCCAGGAAGAAAUCAAUUUAUAAUUAUAUGCUUUGCAAAAACUUAAAACUAAAUGUAGAAAAAAUUAAUAGAAACUAUUGGCAUCCUUAGACAAACUAGACAUGUUAGAUGAUGUUGUUGUGAAUAUGGGAUGGGUAAUUCCAAAUACCAUAUUCCCUAUGAAAAAGUAAAUAAAAACGUCAAAAUGAAAAUACCAUAUUCCCUGUGAAAAAAGUAAAUGGUCAUUCAUUUUGUUACAAAAGCAUGUGUGUGUACACACUAAUUGGGCCGGCCAAUUAUUGCUAUAGAUAACAUAAUAUAAAAAUGUCAUAUUUUUACUAAGAGAAAUGUUGAUUCCUUAUUUUAAUAAAAUAUUAUUUUAUGAGGCUAAAAUAGUUUGUUAGAAAAUAAAAAUGAAUUUACCUUUUUAACAUAUUCAUGACUUUUGUUAAACAUACAUGAAAUCAAUUUGUGUGUCGGAAAAUGAAAAUGGAAACAAGCUGUGAAGUAAAACACCACCUUGGGCCUGAUCGGGCCAGUGCACAAUUUUGAUACCUGGAUUUGGAACACGUGAGAACCGAGAGCGUUACGUUUCAGGAAAUUCAAGCUAAAAAAGCCCGUAGAAGAUCUCAGAAGAAGAAAAGUCACAACGUUUUUCACGAGGAAACGUACCAAGUACCAAUAAAAAAAAAAACUUACAUUGACAAUUCUACCCUUCAUCUCAGUAUUCUCACCCACUCCCCCUCCUCACUACGAAAACACACUCGCUUCAAGUUUCACCGCCACGUGAUCUUUCUGUUCUUCGCUAAUUUACUCCCAAAAAUGCGCGUAUAUGUAACGCUCCUUCUCGAGCGUAGUAACCAACCUAAGCCUGAAAAACGAACUUUGUUUGUAAUUUACAUAUUUGCUUCCUUUUUCUGGAUAUUUCUCCCUAACUCUCUGUCACCAAGAACGAGCUUCAGACUUAUACGAAUCCGAUUUAGGGUUUCUUUUUGAUCUUAUCAGAUCGGACUAUCUCGAUUAUUAAACCCUAAUCUUCGGAUCAGGUAAUCCCAAUAUCCAAUUCUGUACGAUUUCAUUCUGUUCGUUGAAUUUUUAUUUUUUAAAUUAUUUUUUUGUUUUUGUGUUAUUACUUGAAAUUAUUGCUUAUGUGUUGUAUGAGUCUAAUAGAUCUCUUCCUUAUGUGAUAUUGGUGAUUGUUUUAUUGGGUUAAUUCAAAAAUCAAAUCUUUCUGGGUUUUGUAAUUUGAGCUCAUUUUUUCCUUUUAUUUUUUAUUUGGGUAGUUGAUUUUAUUUUAUUUAUUUUUUUUUUUGGGCCUAGUCUUGAUCUGCCUUUUGAAAUUUUAUUGGUGUUGCCAUUUGGGGAUGCCGAAAUUUUACUGAGAGGUUUGGGAUCUGGUUGUUUAGCGUAGAAGGCAAUUGUCAAUUGGAUGGAAUUAAUUGUGAUUCUAGCUCUUGUGUUGAAUCAAUUGAAUUCGUUUUUAUUCGAGCAGUUUCUGAUUUGAUUUUGUCUUUGUUGUGAUCCAGGUCUGAGCAUUCCGGUUGUUGGGCCCCUUGCAUCAGCUGAGGUUCAUGUCUGAUUUUGAUAUCCAGGUUCCUGCUGCCUUUGGUAAGUCCGCUUAAAUCUAUGACAUAUUUAAUUUUUAGUCUGCACAAUUCUUGGCUCUUUGCAUGAGAAUUGGGAGGGAAAGCGUCUUUUCAAGCACAAACUCGAAUGUUUGUUAAAAAUCAUGUUCUGAGUUAGUGGGUGUGAAACAACAGAGGUGUAGGAUCGGACUUGGUGGCAGACAAGAUUAUAGUAGAAUUGGAGUAGGACCCACCAAGUAACUUGUGAAAACAUUUUGAGUUGAGUAACUUCAUCCACCAUAUGAAAGGUUUAUGGAAUUUUGGCAGGUUUAUGAAGCGUCAUUGAAUGUGCAAAAUAAUUAAUUAAAAGUUGAAAAACAUAAAGGCCGUAAAGAUAUGUUGAUAUAGGUUGUAAACGUAUGGCAAUGUAUGUCUUUUAUGUAUUUUCGCGUGAUACCAGAUAUAGAGGCUAUUGGCUCAGGCCUAUUGGCCAAUGACAGGCAUGCUUCUCCUAGCUGACUUCUAGUAUGCAGUGGUAGCAAGUUGCUGCUCUUAAGCGGCUUUCCAUUUGAGGUUCAGUUUUGAACUUAUUGGUGAAAGGUUAUGUGGUUAAAAGUGUUAGUUCUAAUGCCUUUUUGCCUGUUCUUGAGUUGUGGAAUUUAUAUAUGGCAAUGGCCAUGAUUUUUCAUUUCUUACUUAAAUCACAUGCUGCCUUUAAAAUCUUGUGGUUGUAAAUCAAACUAUAAGGACCCUUAAUUUUAGCCAAUUUGCGUUACAGUUCGAAGCAUACCUAUAUGCAAAGAUGGAAAUCAAAAUAUAGGUGCCUUUGCUUCUAAUUUAUAGUUGGUGAGGUAUUCAGUUGUUGACUUCUCAUAUCAUAGUGGAUAUUUGUUGCAUUUGGUUCUUAUUUAGCUUAUGGUCGUUGAAAUGACCAAUAACACUUUACCCUUUUUAGUUGUUCUCCUUGUUGAUGAUGAUUUUACCUAUAAAUUCCUCAUUCCUUUGUUCAUAAAAAUCUAACCUUCUGUUCCUUUGUGGGUGGUAGACCCGUUUGCUGAUGCAAAGGCUGAGGACUCAGGUGCUGGUUCAAAAGAGUAUGUGCAUAUCCGUGUUCAGCAACGGAAUGGUAGGAAAAGCCUGACAACUGUCCAGGGGUUGAAGAAAGAAUUUAGUUACAACAAAAUCCUCAAGGACCUCAAAAAGGAAUUUUGCUGCAAUGGAACAGUGGUCCAGGAUCCUGAACUAGGACAGGUGCACUUUUGAUCUCUAGCUUAAGCGAUUAAUUAUUAUCAUUAUUUGUUUUAUUUUAUUUAUUUUUAUUUGAUUUCUUAUCCUUCUGUUUGUAUAUAGGUCAUUCAACUCCAAGGUGACCAGCGGAAGAAUGUAUCUACGUUCCUUGUUCAGGUAAUAUUCUUUUCUCAGUCUACCAUUAUUUAUAUUCUCAAGGCAAUAGGCAAGAGCCAAUUCCUAAAGGUUAUGGUACGAAAUCAAGUUCCUGAUUUUUUUUUAUUUAUUUAUUGGGGCAACAGGCUGGGAUUGUGAAGAAGGAACAUAUCAAAAUGCAUGGCUUUUAAGUAAACAGCAACUUCCGUUUCUGCACAUUUGGUGACCCGCGUUCGUCAGUGCAGUGCAGAACAUGCUAUUGAUACUAUUAAAAAAAAAAAAAAUUGUAUGUGGUGGUGCUGUUAUAUCAUCUCCUGUGUUGGUUUAGUAUUGUUUUAUCUGUUUUUGUGCCACUGAUGUUUCCUAGUUCUCGGUUUUAUGUAAUGUGGGAUGAUUAUGGUUAUGUGAUGCAGUAUAGUUUGCUCGUAUGUUGUAAGUACAAAUUAUUAUCCAAAGUUAUCAUCUAAUUUUAAUGGGUACUAGAAGGAAUAAUUUGCUGAGAGUUGGGAUGUGCUUAAUAGAAAGCUAUGGAUGUUCUGUGAGUAACUGUUCGGGUUGUGGUACAAGUUUUGAGAUGUUUUCGCUGUGGCAGCUGAUCCUAGACUUCAAAAAAAUUUUUUUCCCCUCGCAAGUGGUAAUUUGUUUUUUAAGAGUAAUUGAAAGUAAAAUAACCAUCGCAGAUAUUUAAAUGUGUGGAGUAAAUUCAACGUGCAUCUAAAUUUUUGGUUACACUUUUAAGUGGACAGAAAGAAAGGUUGAGUCGUUGAGAGACGAGGCAGAGAGGCUUCUGGAACGGAAAAUGUUUUUAUUAAUUUUUCUGAUGCAACUGGUUCACUUGCAGUAGUUUUUGAGAGCGCGCUGGGUCAAUUACAAUGUUGUGAUGGGAGAUGCAAUUUCUUGAAAAUGGGUCAUCAAUAGCUUUUCAUAUUCUAUUUGUUAGGGCUUUGAAUUCAUUCAAAGGGCACAGAUUUCUUAGUUCUUCUCAUAAUAAGUACAUGAUGUCGAUUGUUUGGGUCGCCAGUUGUAUGCAUCAAAAAAAAAAAAAUAAAAAAAAAAAAUUUCUUAUUCAACAAAGGAUUUUAUGUGGAGGUGAUGAUUAUGAUGUCUUAUAAUAAUAUUAAGGAAGUUAUCAGGACAUUAGCUGUGAAAAAGAACCAUCGCAAGUUUUCUCUUAUCUUUUUUCCAUUAGAAAUAUUAUGUCAUACGUAAUUUCUAUUGAAAUCUAGCUUGCAAACACUAAACAUUUUAGGACAUUGGUUGAGCCCCAUUUUCAUCACCACCGUCGCUCACCAAUUUCGCCCACAUUUCUUAAUCAUUCAUCCAUAGACAAAUCAAACACAAUUACUUAUGCUCAAGUUGAUAUAUACAUAGGACAUGUGGGAUUCCUUUUUUAUAACACUUAGCAUGUUGAUCUUGGAAUAGUUCCUUUUUCCUUUUUUUUUAAUUAAUAAUUAGAGAGAUGUGUACUUCGAUUAAUAAUUUUAGAAGAAAAUUUACUAUUUGGUGGUUCUAUAAGGGGAUACAAAUUAGCCUUAAUUUUGUUGACGUUGAAUGUUUUUUAUUAGUGAAAAAUAAAAUGAGUUAUCCAAAAAAUAUUGAUGUACCGUACAUAUAUUUAUUAGUGAAAAAUAAUAAGAAUUACUCAAUAAAUACUGAUUUGCCCGUACAUAUAUUUAUUGAACGUGGUUGCUAGCUUGCUCUCGUAAUUUUUAAAAUUAAUUAGUGCAUAUAUUAUAUGAUAUUAUUGAGACUUUUAUAUGGAUCUGGUACCUGAUGUAUCAAAAAAUUUCUGUUAUUUGAGUUUAAAUAGUAAUGUUUUCCAAAAUCAAUCAAAGAAAUAUGUGUUUUUUUUUUUUCCAUUUCUUCUUAAUUAAUGAAAAAUGUACCUAAAAUAUGUAAUUUAUUUAUUUUUCUUAAUGUUUGCUGAUAAUUUGCCUACCCAACAAUAAAUUCACCUGUCCCGUCAAAAGAUAUCUCACGGAAUCACUACACGACAAAAUCUUCAGUCCAAGAUCACAAAACUCAAAAUCAUCACAAAAGCCUAAGUAGCCAAAUAUUAUCACAACGACAAGAUGACAGCGAGUGACAAUUGCAGGACUCCGCAAUUGGACGGUAGAGUCCAGUUUACGCUUUACCAGAACUGGCACGCACUUGCACGAAAACCAGAGAAAGCUUUGGGUAAUUGACACGUGAAUCCGUUUCUUUUGUGAAAUUACAAGAAAGAUUAGUUGUUUUCGUUCAUAUCCAACCAAGUCUUCCUUAUUGUGACCCGGUUCGUGCGCUUUGUUCCGAUUUUGGAUUCAAAUCUGUAUGAUAAACUGCAGGGAAAUCCACCAAAUCAACUGAAUCAUCAACGGCAAGCAAAAUCUUGGCCUAAACAAAACACUCCGUCGGGGCAUCAAAUUAUCUAAAAAGGGUUAAAGAUCGUAUGUUUCAAUUAAGGAUUGAUUUAGUUUUUUAUUAAAUGAACUAUUUUGCCGGAGUAUGCUUCAUAUGAUCAAGCCAUUUAGUUCCGUUCAUAUCUUUAGAUUAAGAAUGGAGAAUAUGUAUUAUUUUUAUUUCAACCAAUCUUUAGUAUUGUGAACUUUUGUAAAACAAUUUGUAUAAAUUGUUGUUUGAUUGUUAAUGAAAAUAUCAACCAAUACUUCCCAAUAUCAUAUAAGUAACAAUUUAUAAUAGGGGUUGAAUAGUCUCCCUACAUUAGGGUAGAAUUUAUUUUUCUCCGGUAUUAAUAAUGAGGGCAUACCUCCUUUCAGCUUUAAGUGAAUGGUUGAUAUUCAGACUGUACCACAAUAGGAUUAUUCAGGAGAGUCCUGACUGACUUCUUAUUGUAAAUAUCAGUAGAGCUCUAAUUGUAAUAUAUUAUAUAUCAGUGUAUUAAAAAAAAAUAAAUCAAAAAAAUUAUUCAUAAUAUAUUAAUGAUGGUUUGUUUUAUUACUUUAAUGAAAUAACGUUAGAUUGAAUCUAAUUUAUUGUGUUUGUAAUUAAAUAAGUAAAUUAAGUCUAAUUUACUAUUAUUUUUAUCAGUAUUUUAUUUUAAUUUUUUUAACCAAAUAUACUCCGUCCUUUUAUCUAAAAUAUCAUUUUUCUAACACAAGUUUGAAAAUCUGAAACCUCAUUGCUAAUUUUGAUAUUUUACUAAACAACAGGGAUUGCUGCCUCAAUUAACCAAAAGCUUUGCAGUUCGAACGUGCAAAAUUUUUGUCCUCUCUACCUAGUUUCUAGACCCUUCAAACCCUAUCCUCUUUCCACGUGUCCCCAGAUAUUUUCCUUCACCGCCGCUUUUCUCCUCUCUAUAUAAUAAUAAAAUCCCACUACCACCCUCCUUGACUCACCAGUCAUCAUCACUGCUGCAAAUCAAAUUACUUCUCAUUAUCAAACUUCUAAGCAGCAGGGGAAGGAGGGGUUAAAAAAAAAAAACAUGGCAGCCAUGACUUCUACAGCUUUCGCUCCUUCAGUUUCGUCCACCACCAAUAAGCUCUUUGACUCAUCCUUUCAUGGGGCUCCCAUGUCACCUUCUCUUCUACGUCUUCAACCCAUCAAAUCUUCUCGUCCCAACAACUUGUCCAUUUCUGCUUCUGCUUCUCCUCCUUAUGACUUGAACACUUUCAAGUUUGACCCCAUCAAAGAAUCCAUUGUUUCUCGUGAAAUGACACGCAGGUAUAUACAAGCACGCAAGCAAGCGCACACACACUAAUCACUAGGGCUAGGUUUUGUUCAAAAGUGAUUUUGUAGAAACACUUAAAUUUAAAAGCACUUAUGUGUCUGUAGGUACAUGACGGACAUGAUCACUUAUGCUGACACUGAUGUGGUAGUGGUUGGUGCUGGCUCUGCUGGCCUCUCUUGUGCUUAUGAGCUCAGCAAAAACCCCAACAUUCAGAUUGCUAUUAUCGAACAGUCUGUUAGCCCCGGCGGUGGCGCGUGGCUCGGUGGACAGCUCUUCUCUGCCAUGGUAUAAUAAAUUGCAAUUUUUCUUUGUUAUCAAUCAUAAUGCUUGUUGUUAACAAUAAACGUUAAUUUUUUUAUUUGGUAUGUUUUGUCAAAUAAUCAUAAAUAUUUAUUUAAUAUCAUAAUUUUUUAAAAUUUUUUAGUUGUUGUUUGUUUAUUUUUUAAAUAAUAUUUUUAAGAUUAAUUAAAUUUUUUCUUUUUAUUAGUAAAAAUUUAAAUUUUGAGUUUUUGUUCUGGAGGUUAAAAUAUUUUUAAAAAAUGUUAUAUAUUUAAAUUUUUUUAUUUAUUUCAUAAUUUUAUUUUAUUUCUUUUCGUAACAUGAUUGUAAAAAAUUUAUUUAUUAAAAUAAAGUUAUAAUUUUUAAUAAAAAUUAUUUUUAUUAACAAUCAAAUAAUUAAAUUUUUUUAAUAAAAACUUAGAAAAAUUCUACUACCAAAAAUUUUAUUUAAGUAAGCUUUAUAGUUCUGUAUAUGGCUUAUGAUAAUAAUUAAUUAUAUGCUAAAAGCUCUGUUAAAGAUAUCUCCAAAAAGCUCUGUUAAGGACAUCAGUUCGUGUCAAAAAGAGACUUGCUGGAGGGUGGUGGGUCUGAUGGUCCCUCUUGUCAUUAUUAAGGAAAUAAUUAAGUUUAUUUUUAUUUAUCUAAUUAUUGGAAAUUCCGAUUUGGAAUCGAGUUAUUUCUUCACUUUAAUAUUGAGAUGAGUGAAAUGGGACAAUAUCUUGGUUAAAUGAGGAGUUUUGUAAUUUGGGUCACCUGUAAAGCAUUAGUAUCAUAUUUGGACUCUUAAUAUUCUAUUUAUGUCUCAUACAAAUCAAACCUUUAUGAUUUGAUUUUAUCACUUCAUUAGAAUUGCUGCCACACAACAGAGUAUCCGAGAUUUCGUACAAAACAAUUUAGGUCUAAAUUGGAGUUAAUUGAAUUGCCUGUAAUUUGAACAGGUUGUGCGCAAACCAGCCCACAUCUUCCUUGACGAGCUUGGCAUCGACUACGAUGAGCAAGACAACUAUGUUGUGAUCAAGCAUGCAGCGCUGUUCACCUCCACUAUAAUGAGCAAGCUCCUGGCCCGCCCCAACGUCAAGCUCUUUAAUGCAGUGGCAGCCGAGGACUUGAUAGUCAAAGGCGGCAGAGUUGGUGGUGUGGUGACCAACUGGGCGUUGGUGUCAAUGAAUCACGAUACACAGUCUUGCAUGGAUCCCAAUGUAAUGGAAGCGAAGGUGGUUGUGAGCUCUUGUGGCCAUGAUGGGCCUUUUGGUGCCACUGGAGUAAAGAGGUUGAAGAGUAUCGGAAUGAUUGAGGAAGUGCCUGGAAUGAAGGCACUGGACAUGAACUCUGCAGAAGAUGCUAUUGUGAGGCUGACCAGGGAGGUUGUGCCUGGUAUGAUAGUUACCGGCAUGGAAGUUGCCGAGAUUGAUGGUGCUCCUAGAAUGGUACAUAUGCUUACGACUCUGUUUCUUAGCAGCCUUAGAUUAAGAAAGUUGCUGCUCUUCAAUCUCAAAACGGUUUCUUGAUAUAGUGUUUGAUAAUGUGUGCAAAUAAGUAACAAACGUAAUAAUCUGAAUGCAGGGG
Molecule: long non-coding RNA, 31102 nt
Filed under: Citrus x clementina
Lineage: Eukaryota; Viridiplantae; Streptophyta; Magnoliopsida; Sapindales; Rutaceae
Description: Citrus clementina (C. clementina) long non-coding RNA (CCLE_LNC006767)
Source: RNAcentral